GAGCAAACAGGAUUAGAUACCCUGGUAGUCCACGCCCUAAACGAUGUCUACUAGUUGUCGGGUCUUAAUUGACUUGGUAACGCAGCUAACGCGUGAAGUAGACCGCCUGGGGAGUACGGUCGCAAGAUUAAAACUCAAAGGAAUUGACGGGGACCCGCACAAGCGGUGGAUGAUGUGGAUUAAUUCGAUGCAACGCGAAAAACCUUACCUACCCUUGACAUGUACAGAAUCCCGAAGAGAUUUGGGAGUGUUCGAAAGAAAGCUGUAACACAGGUGCUGCAUGGCUGUCGUCAGCUCGUGUCGUGAGAUGUUGGGUUAAGUCCCGCAACGAGCGCAACCCUUGUCAUUAGUUGCUACGAAAGGGCACUCUAAUGAGACUGCCGGUGACAAACCGGAGGAAGGUGGGGAUGACGUCAAGUCCUCAUGGCCCUUAUGGGUAGGGCUUCACACGUCAUACAAUGGUACAUACAGAGGGCCGCCAACCCGCGAGGGGGAGCUAAUCCCAGAAAGUGUAUCGUAGUCCGGAUUGUAGUCUGCAACUCGACUACAUGAAGUUGGAAUCGCUAGUAAUCGCGGAUCAGCAUGUCGCGGUGAAUACGUUCCCGGGUCUUGUACACACCGCCCGUCACACCAUGGGAGCGGGUUUUACC
Molecule: ribosomal RNA, 650 nt
Filed under: Collimonas sp. AD64
Lineage: Bacteria; Pseudomonadati; Pseudomonadota; Betaproteobacteria; Burkholderiales; Oxalobacteraceae
Description: bacterial SSU rRNA
Rfam family: Bacterial small subunit ribosomal RNA
Source: RNAcentral